Long non-coding RNA from Papaver somniferum (opium poppy), 831 nucleotides. RefSeq lists it as uncharacterized. The transcript has 2 exons. Lineage: Eukaryota; Viridiplantae; Streptophyta; Magnoliopsida; Ranunculales; Papaveraceae. The record is from RefSeq and is a predicted model, not a curated record.
CAUGAUCCAAAAACUGAUAGAAAUUGAAACCCUUUCUUAUCAUUUUUCAGAGAGAAAAAAAACUCAGAGAAAAAACGAAAUCAGUUUUCUCCGUCUCUGAUUGAUGAAGAGAAACCAAUUCAAAAAGUUAUCAUCGUCUCUGAUUGAAGGAGAUUAAACCCAAAAAAAAAUAAUCAUACAAACGUAAUCAGAUCUUCAAUUAUACUCAAAUAUCAGUUCAAUUAAACCCAAAAAUCAACUUCAACCAAGUCAAAAAAUCACUUCAAUAACCUCUACUGAACCAAAAAUGAGUUUCAAUUGAAGAACAAUGGUUGAAACAAGAAGACAAAGUUCAAGAAAUUCGAAAAAACAAAAAGUAGAAUCAACAUCUAACAUCUCGAAAAAAUCAGUAACAGAAAUUCAUAAAUCUCCAAAAGCAGUAACGGGUAAACCAUUUAUAAUUCAUGAAAUGCUCAUAACAUAUUAAUGGCCAAAGAGGGAGUCUACAGAAUAGGAUUGCGCUACACUCUUCAUAAUAUAUGUAUUCUCAAUUCAUGAGAUAUACUUGGUAGCGGGUGAGCAAGGAGCUAGAAGUUCUAUCAAUGGUGAAGAAUUGUAAAAUUCAAUGUUUUGAAAUGCAAACCAGCUUUGGCGACUAUACCUGAAUCAUCUACUUGUUAGAUGUAAUUUAAUGUAGCCAAAUAAUUGAUGUUUUGGAUAGACAAUUAAGAAACAACAUUUUAUGAACUUAAUUUUAGUGUUUGUUGUAAUGUUUGUGUACCACCAAAGAUAUCUUCAGUUGUAAGUUAAGAUACACGAUCUUAGAUUUUUCUCUUAUAGUUUUCUUCCAUA